CACAGGAUGGAACUGCUACACAGACA
This 26-nucleotide non-coding RNA is filed under the name Rattus norvegicus (Norway rat). The record is from RNAcentral. Lineage: Eukaryota; Metazoa; Chordata; Mammalia; Rodentia; Muridae.